GGGGAAUAUUGGACAAUGGGGGAAACCCUGAUCCAGCAAUGCCGCGUGAAUGAAGAAGGCCUUAGGGUUGUAAAGUUCUUUCACCUGUGAAGAUAAUGACGGUAGCAGGAGAAGAAGCCCCGGCUAACUCCGUGCCAGCAGCCGCGGUAAGACGGAGGGGGCUAGCGUUGUUCGGAAUGACUGGGCGUAAAGGGCGCGUAGGCGGUUUUUUAAGUGAGGCGUGAAAGCCCUGGGCUUAACCCAGGAGGUGCGUUUCAUACUGGAAAGCUUGAGUGCGAGAGAGGAAAGCGGAAUUCCUAGUGUAGAGGUGAAAUUCGUAGAUAUUAGGAAGAACACCAGUGGCGAAGGCGGCUUUCUGGCUCGUAACUGACGCUGAGGCGCGAAAGCGUGGGGAGCAAAC
RNAcentral lists this ribosomal RNA (400 nucleotides) under uncultured bacterium. RNAcentral describes it as "bacterial SSU rRNA". It matches the Rfam family "Bacterial small subunit ribosomal RNA", at positions 356 to 773 of the family's 1533-position model. The record is from RNAcentral.